This is a long non-coding RNA of Labeo rohita (rohu), 348 nucleotides long. RefSeq lists it as uncharacterized. NCBI's taxonomy places the organism in Eukaryota, Metazoa, Chordata, Actinopteri, Cypriniformes, Cyprinidae. The record is from RefSeq and is a predicted model, not a curated record. The transcript is spliced from 2 exons.
CUAUGCUUUAGACCAAGGGACUAGACCGAAGGUGUCCUAACCUGUUCCUAAGGGGCCACUUGUCCUGCAGGGUUUAGUUCCAAUCCUAAUUAAACACACCUAAAUAAGAUAAUCAAGGUCUUUAGGAUUACUAGAAAGUUACAGAAAGGUGAGUUUGAUCAAAGUUGGAGCUAAAAGUGGACCUCGAAGAACUUCUGAACUUCAGACCAAAGGUAUCCAAACCUAUUCCUCAAGGGCCACUUAUCCAGCUGAGUUUAGCUUUAACCCUAAUUAAACACACUUGAACAAGCUAAUCAAGGUCUUUGGGAUCAGUAGAAAGUUACAGAAAGAGGAGUUCAAUCAAGCUUG